GCUAUGUAAUAUUGUGGGCUAUAGACUUGCCACAUUAGCUAAAACAAAGGGAUGCUAAAAUGUGAAUAUUCGCUAAUCCCUAAACAGGAUAUAAUAUGGAUUGUAUGUCUGAAACUCGACUACAUGAAUAAGGAAUUACUAGUAAUCGUGCAUCACCAUGGCACGGUGAA
This 170-nucleotide non-coding RNA is filed under the name Tuber melanosporum Mel28. RNAcentral's name for it is "Bacterial small subunit ribosomal RNA". It matches the Rfam family "Bacterial small subunit ribosomal RNA", at positions 1196 to 1366 of the family's 1533-position model. Lineage: Eukaryota; Fungi; Ascomycota; Pezizomycetes; Pezizales; Tuberaceae. The record is from Rfam by way of RNAcentral.